AAACAAGUUUGGGCCGGUUUCUUCUCUCAUGAGGAUCUGCUCAGGGGCUGAAGGAAGGAGAAGGAAGUCAGCUUGGCGGGGAUGAAAGUUGGCCAUGCCCAUACCCUGCACUUCAGUAGUUUUCCAGCACUCUGUAAAGCUCAGUUCAGUGGCUUUCCUCUGCCUGUGAUGGUGGAACAGGUUUUUUUUGCAGUUUUGAUUAUAAAAAAAACAAACGGCACAAAUUAAAAAACAAAGACAGUGCGAUGGAGCAAAAAUCCCAAUCUGGGCACACCCUCUCAUCAGGGAGAGUAAAUAAACAGCUUUUCUCUAUUUUCAGCUCUCAUUCUUCAGAUUUGAACUCCACCCAUUGUACCAGUCACCCCCAAAAGAAUCAGCAGGUCUCCUGGCAAAUGUAUAAAACCAGAACAAGUCACGACACUAUCACAGUGUGCUAUACAUCACCAGGUGCUCAAUUUUAUCAAAGGAGAGGACUUCAACAGGUGUCAGAAGCCACAAUGUCGGGUAAAAGCUUCCAGGGACUGAAGGAACAAGCUGAAGGUGCAGCAAAAGAUGCUGCAAACACACUGGGACAGGCCACUCAGGAUGCAGUCAACCAGAUUACAGAUGCAAGCCAGAAAGCUUUUGACAAGGCUUCCAAGACAGCACAAGAUGGAGUAGAAAAAGUGGCUGGACAGGCUGCAGAAGCAAUGUCUGGCUUUGGGAAAAAAUGUGGAUUUAAAAAAUGAUGCUAAUUCAAGUCAACAGUACUGCUUGUAUAAAUCUCUCUUUGGUCUGCUAUUACCUACUUUUUUUGUGUAGUAAAAUGAAAGCUGUUUGAUAUCUGGAUAAUUCUGUUCUCUUCAAAUAUAAAUUUUUAAGGCAGAAGGUCUUCCUCAUCCUUUACAUAGAAAAUUUACAUCAUUUAGCACGUCUGCUCACAAUUGUCGACAUGGCUGAAAAGGUUUCAGCAAUGCUGUUGCCCUGCUCUUACAACAGCUCAGUGAUUAUUGCCACAUUUGCUGAGUGUAUUUACAAAGCCAGUGAAACUGCUCAUAAUUAGGACACCAGAACAGUCAUGUGAUGAAACUGAGUCUUCUUCCAAUAAUCAAAAAUUAAACUGGGGUUAUAUUUCUUGUCAGUUGUUUCUUUGUUCCCAUCCUUUGCACUUUUACAUUAAGAUAAAUAAAGGUACUGUAAGAUUUCCCCUACUCA
RNAcentral lists this long non-coding RNA (1194 nucleotides) under Chloebia gouldiae (Gouldian finch). RNAcentral's name for it is "Erythrura gouldiae (Gouldian finch) lncRNA (ENSEGOG00005015578.1)". Lineage: Eukaryota; Metazoa; Chordata; Aves; Passeriformes; Passeridae. The record is from RNAcentral.